RNAcentral lists this unclassified non-coding RNA (1549 nucleotides) under Haliotis rufescens (red abalone). Its description in RNAcentral is "uncharacterized LOC124146544, transcript variant X2". The record is from RNAcentral. Lineage: Eukaryota; Metazoa; Mollusca; Gastropoda; Lepetellida; Haliotidae.
UUACCUGUACUUGUACUUGACUGCCAAAAAUGCUGUCGAGGCAUCUGUACAUCUUCUUUGUCGAAUUGCAUUAUUAAAGUACAUCAAGAUGAGACAUCAUAUACAUUCAUAUAUAUUUGUUGAGCACGAAACCUUGAAGUGUAGCCAGGACAUUUCCAAGAAACUAUGGGCGGCCAUGUAGCUUCAAUAUCUUAUAAAUUAUAUCACUGAACAUAGGUCAAGGUGUAUUCAGUAAACAAAGAUCUGAAGGGCUGUAUUUCCUUCAUCGAACACACUAUGCGUUCAUCACAGGUUGUGACGGAUUACGGAUACGAACGAACUAGUACUUGUUUGGCAGACUCGUCUGAAAGAUGACAUAAAAGCGUCCCGUACAAGGUUGGCUGUACAUAACGAUCAGCUGACAGCUUCAGAGAUUCCCAAUCAACAAGAACGAUGAAGUCUACCUUGGCUGCCAUCCUUAUUCUUUCGCUGUGUGCUGUCAGUACCCUGGCAGCAUCAACAUCAACGUCGAUGGCUACUGAAUCAACGACAGUGCCUGGUGACUCAUCGACAGUGGCUGGUGACUCAUCGACAAUGGCUGGUGACUCAUCGACUGCCACGACCACCAAGAGUGGCGCCAGCAACGUCGCCAUCUCCAUGGCGUGCGUCGUUGGGGUCUACGGUGGGUGGAUGGCGCUGAAACUAGCCCUGUAGCAGAACUCAACGACCGACAUCUCUGUGGUGAAGUGGAUACAGAUAUGAACUUCAAGUACAAGACUUGUCUUUGCUUCAACUGAUGCGCAUCACCAUUCGUCACCUCUCGCGUCUUUCCGUAAUCAUCGCAUCAUGUCCCGGAAUGACCCGAGUGGUCACGAAUGGUCCCCAUAUCACGUCUUUGAGGGGAAAUCAACUCCGGAACUAUUGAAUAUUGACACUGAGAAAUUUGACAAUAUGUAACGUUUGAGAAUGUUCCAAAAAUCCAUUUUAUAUAUCUGUGUAAAAAUUUUUUACGAUCAAUCAAUGUUUCUUUGUUAAUACCGUUUGAGCAAAUCAGCUGGCAAAAAACGUUUUCUUUCUUGUAUUUUACAUCAUAUCUGUGUCCAUUGUAUUCCCCGAUUGUUUUGUUAUCUUACCUAUCGUAUACACUUUCAUAAGUAAACCAACGACGCCAUUUUUAUCUCGGGACGGUAUUUCAAUCAGGUUCGUUCCUGCAGUAGCGGGAUGCCAUUGUGUACUCGUCCAUCUGUUUACGCACUUCAGUCUAUGGCUAUGACUUGGUCUCUUUGAUUGAUCAGCUGACAACAAAUCCACUGUUUCUUCACGGGAAAAAGUAGUUCUGAUUAUGAUUAAAAUAUAUUUUUUUACUAUGAAAUACCCCCCCCCCCCCCCCCCCCCCCCCCUUUUACACAUAAACACACGAGUGCCACGACUGAUUUGAAGCGAUAGCAUUGCACACCUUGUGUUAAUAUAUAGAGACAGGGGGGUGCUUGAUUGUGAAAUACCAUACGAUUUUAUCAUAAUCAGAACUUCCUGUGGUUUCUUUUUAAUAAAAAUUUUGUUUGCAUCUCAA